RNAcentral lists this ribosomal RNA (497 nucleotides) under uncultured bacterium. RNAcentral's name for it is "partial 16S ribosomal RNA". It matches the Rfam family "Bacterial small subunit ribosomal RNA", at positions 28 to 507 of the family's 1533-position model. The record is from RNAcentral.
GAUGAACGCUGGCGGCGUGCCUAAUACAUGCAAGUCGAGCGAACAGAUGAGGAGCUUGCUCCUCUGACGUUAGCGGCGGACGGGUGAGUAACACGUGGAUAACCUACCGAUAAGACUGGGAUAACUUCGGGAAACCGGAGCUAAUACCGGAUAAUAUAUUGAACCGCAUGGUUCAAUAGUGAAAGACGGUUUUGAUGUCACUUGUAGGUGGAUCCGCGCCGCAUUAGCUAGUUGGUAAGGUAACGGCUUACCAAGGCAACGAUGCGUAGCCGACCUGAGAGGGUGAUCGGCCACACUGGAACUGAGACACGGUCCAGACUCCUACGGGAGGCAGCAGUAGGGAAUCUUCCGCAAUGGGCGAAAGCCUGACGGAGCAACGCCGCGUGAGUGAUGAAGGUCUUCGGAUCGUAAAACUCUGUUAUUAGGGAAGAACAAAUGUGUAAGUAACUAUGCACGUCUUGACGGUACCUAAUCAGAAAGCCACGGCUAACUACGUG